RNAcentral lists this ribosomal RNA (465 nucleotides) under Vreelandella stevensii. RNAcentral describes it as "partial 16S ribosomal RNA". It matches the Rfam family "Bacterial small subunit ribosomal RNA", at positions 338 to 795 of the family's 1533-position model. The record is from RNAcentral. Lineage: Bacteria; Pseudomonadati; Pseudomonadota; Gammaproteobacteria; Oceanospirillales; Halomonadaceae.
CCUACGGGGGGCAGCAGUGGGGAAUAUUGGACAAUGGGGGGAACCCUGAUCCAGCCAUGCCGCGUGUGUGAAGAAGGCCCUCGGGUUGUAAAGCACUUUCAGUGAGGAAGAACGCCUGGUGGUUAAUACCCAUCAGGAAAGACAUCACUCACAGAAGAAGCACCGGCUAACUCCGUGCCAGCAGCCGCGGUAAUACGGAGGGUGCGAGCGUUAAUCGGAAUUACUGGGCAUAAAGCGCGCGUAGGUGGCUUGAUAAGCCGGUUGUGAAAGCCCCGGGCUCAACCUGGGAACGGCAUCCGGAACUGUCAAGCUAGAGUGCAGGAGAGGAAGGUAGAAUUCCCGGUGUAGCGGUGAAAUGCGUAGAGAUCGGGAGGAAUACCAGUGGCGAAGGCGGCCUUCUGGACUGACACUGACACUGAGGUGCGAAAGCGUGGGUAGCAAACAGGAUUAGAUACCCGGGUAGUC